This 38-nucleotide ribosomal RNA is filed under the name Phormidium sp. 7B10. Its description in RNAcentral is "partial 23S ribosomal RNA". The record is from RNAcentral. Lineage: Bacteria; Bacillati; Cyanobacteriota; Cyanophyceae; Oscillatoriales; Oscillatoriaceae.
GGUCAAGCUAUCAAGAGCUAACGGUGGAUACCUAGCCC